CGGGAUGUAGCGCAGCUUGGUAGCGCAUCCGCUUUGGGAGCGGAAGGUCGCAGGUUCAAAUCCUGUCAUCCCGACCA
Molecule: transfer RNA, 77 nt
Filed under: Aeromicrobium terrae
Lineage: Bacteria; Bacillati; Actinomycetota; Actinomycetes; Propionibacteriales; Nocardioidaceae
Also listed under: 1 other name
Description: Aeromicrobium sp. CC-CFT486 tRNA-Pro
Rfam family: tRNA
About the family: Transfer RNA (tRNA) molecules are approximately 80 nucleotides in length. Their secondary structure includes four short double-helical elements and three loops (D, anti-codon, and T loops). Further hydrogen bonds mediate the characteristic L-shaped molecular structure. tRNAs have two regions of fundamental functional importance: the anti-codon, which is responsible for specific mRNA codon recognition, and the 3' end, to which the tRNAs corresponding amino acid is attached (by aminoacyl-tRNA synthetases). tRNAs cope with the degeneracy of the genetic code in two manners: having more than one tRNA (with a specific anti-codon) for a particular amino acid; and 'wobble' base-pairing, i.e. permitting non-standard base-pairing at the 3rd anti-codon position.
Source: RNAcentral